AACGAACGUUAGCGGCGCGCCUAACACAUGCAAGUCGUGCGAGAAAGGGCUUCGGCCCCGGUAAAGCGGCGCACGGGUGAGUAACACGUAGAUAACCUACCCUCAGGUGGCGGAUAACCUUCCGAAAGGAGGCUAAUACGGCAUAAGACCACGGUCUCGCAAGAGAUUGAGGUAAAAGCAGGCCUCUGUACACAAGCUUGCGCCAGGGGAUGGGUCUGCGGCCCAUCAGCUAGUUGGUAGGGUAAUGGCCUACCAAGGCGAAGACGGGUAGCUGGUCUGAGAGGAUGAUCAGCCACACUGGAACUGAGACACGGUCCAGACUCCUACGGGAGGCAGCAGUGGGGAAUCUUGCGCAAUGGGCGAAAGCCUGACGCAGCGACGCCGCGUGAGUGAUGAAGGCCUUCGGUGUAAGCUCUGUGGAGGGGGACGGAAGUAAGUAGUCGUCGAAUAGACGGCGAUGAUGA
This 464-nucleotide ribosomal RNA is filed under the name uncultured bacterium. RNAcentral describes it as "bacterial SSU rRNA". It matches the Rfam family "Bacterial small subunit ribosomal RNA", at positions 29 to 475 of the family's 1533-position model. The record is from RNAcentral.